RNAcentral lists this long non-coding RNA (543 nucleotides) under Bos taurus (domestic cattle). Its description in RNAcentral is "long non-coding RNA NONBTAT019551". Lineage: Eukaryota; Metazoa; Chordata; Mammalia; Artiodactyla; Bovidae. The record is from RNAcentral.
UUCUUCUGAAUAGGGGGGUCACAAAGGAAAUAUUUUAGGCUUUUCAAACCACAGUCUCAAAUAGGGUGCCUGUACCCCCACAAUAACACUUCAAAAAUAUAAACAACGUUCUUAACUCCUCAGCUAUAAAGACACAGGCAGGGCUGGCUAUAGUUUGCCUAGUCUUAUUCUAGUCCUUAAUGGGAUAAAGGGUAGUUAAACCUCAACUUCAUGCAAGCAUGUAUGGUCACAGUAACUUACAAGUGCUGGCUGAAUAUUUAUUUCAACAUGGUCUUCAUCAUAAUGCUUUCUGGCACCUGAAAAUAUCACCAAGUGCUUGUUUGGUCAAUUAAUAAAGCAUGUAUUAAAACAUACACUUUACCUUAGGGAAAAAGAAACUCAGUGAUUAUGAAGAAAUAACUCAAACUGAGAUUUAAGUUUACUGUAAUGUGUAUAAUUAUAUACUAUGUAUAUAAUUUUAGUUUUACAUGUAACAUCUUUUAUCUCAAAUAACUUCUGAAACUUGCUGUGAUUCUAGUAAGUUAUUUUUGAAUAUUCCCAAAG